RNAcentral lists this transfer RNA (78 nucleotides) under Sphingobacteriales bacterium CHB3. Its description in RNAcentral is "tRNA-Val". It matches the Rfam family "tRNA". From Rfam's summary of the family: Transfer RNA (tRNA) molecules are approximately 80 nucleotides in length. Their secondary structure includes four short double-helical elements and three loops (D, anti-codon, and T loops). Further hydrogen bonds mediate the characteristic L-shaped molecular structure. tRNAs have two regions of fundamental functional importance: the anti-codon, which is responsible for specific mRNA codon recognition, and the 3' end, to which the tRNAs corresponding amino acid is attached (by aminoacyl-tRNA synthetases). tRNAs cope with the degeneracy of the genetic code in two manners: having more than one tRNA (with a specific anti-codon) for a particular amino acid; and 'wobble' base-pairing, i.e. permitting non-standard base-pairing at the 3rd anti-codon position. Lineage: Bacteria; Pseudomonadati; Bacteroidota; Sphingobacteriia; Sphingobacteriales. The record is from RNAcentral.
GGACGCUUAGCUCAGUUGGUCUAGAGCGUCUGCCUUACAAGCAGAAGGUCACUGGUUCGACUCCAGUAGCGUCCACAA